This 7803-nucleotide long non-coding RNA is filed under the name Vigna radiata. Its description in RNAcentral is "long non-coding RNA (VRAD_LNC000076)". Lineage: Eukaryota; Viridiplantae; Streptophyta; Magnoliopsida; Fabales; Fabaceae. The record is from RNAcentral.
AGAAACGCAUGAGGGGUUCAAACCUCCCCACCUCAUUCUGCACUCUCAAGCUCAAUACACCAGAGAGGGAAGGUUUCUCUCUCGCAGAGCUCAGGGUUACGCCACCGAGCCACCACUUCUUCGAAUCAAGCCACCGCGGCGGCCCUCCGACAGCAGACGUCACCGGAAUCACGGCCGGCCACGACACCUUCUCCCCUUCUCCCUCUCUCUCGCACUAGCCUAGGGUUGGGGCCUUUCCACCCUUGAACACCGCUUGCCACCGCUUCUCUGCCACCGCCUUCAUCGCAAGCGCCAGCCAGACCGCACACUCCCAUGACUGUCGCGACAAUGCCCCGUCUCCUCCAUCACCGCGUCACCGUGCUCCACUUCCACAGCCUAGGCCGCAGGAACUCAGCACCGUCGUGCCAUCAACAACGACAAUGUCUCGCUUCUUCACCUCCGUCACCUUCGUCCGAACUCCAUGCUUCGCCAGUCUCCGAUCUAAUUUUGCUUCAUUGUGGUAUGACAGAAAAGGGGCAGAGAAAGGGGAAGAAGAGAAAAGAACAGCCUCUGCUUGCUCUAAACGCACUUGCAUAAUAAUCCAACUCGUGCUAGGGGUCGCCGCGACUUUCGAAAGAGCAGAAAGGUGAGUUGGGGAACUGGUUUACGAAUGAAAUUUGAUAAAGAUAUCCUCCCUUGUAUUAUUCUAAGACUCAAGAAAUUGAAACAAGCACCAAGGUAUUGAAUCUGGUUUUUGUUGUUGGUUUCCUUUGACGCGAACGAAAGGUGAAUAGAACAUAAGUACUGUUGGAUUCAUUAUGUAGUGUACUGUGUGAGUUUCUGUUUAACAGGGUGUGAGUUUCUGUUUAACAGGGUGUGAGUUUUUCUGAUGGCGUUAUGUGUGUUGGCUUUGUGGAAAAGGAGAGAGCGCCAAAAUUGUUUCAAUGUGUUCAAUGUGCGCUUUGUAUGGUGCGUGUUAAGGAUGCGAUGGAGAGGUUUGGAUAUGGUGAUGGCACCUUAACAACAGGUUGGACUAGAUUCAUCUUCCUUGUUGAUGAGAAAAAAAAUCAAAGUUUGGGGUGCAGAUUCUAUAAAAGUAACCCUGAUUUAAGAAAAUGAAAGAGGAAGCAAUGCUUCACUCUCUGGAUAGGACCUCUCAUGGUGUUUCGGGGACGUUGAGAGCUUUGGAAGAUCACAACUCACGCUGCUCAGUGGCUUCUAAGAGGGGGAAGAGAAUAAAUUUCCAUGAAACCUUGUUAUGCAAGGUGUGCUCAUGGAAAGGGGAUGGAGAUGCAGCGAAAAAAACAAUCAUAGUGUUUCGGUAGGAAUUUAUUGGGACCGAAAGCACUAACCUCAGUGGCGCGAUUCUGCCUCCUUCUGAUGCGAAAUCUCCAAUUGCCUUCGCCGUCCGUUCUUCUGACCGUCCGUCACGCUCUGAUCUUUGCCCAGGAGGGGGGUGGUACCUGUAAAGGCACUCCGAUGAUCAAGUUAGAUGUCAGUAUAGGAAGGACCUCUGUCCUCAGCAAGUGGAUGCCUAGAACGGAGAGAGGGUGGAACUCAAUCAAGUAUGAGAGUAUCAGUGUAGGUUGAAUUGUGCGUAGAGUAAGCUAAAUUGUGCGUACCUUGUUUGGAGGCUUUUGUUCUUUAUUUAUAGGCUUUGGAUCAAUAUAACAAAAUAAAAUAUAAACAGAAUGAAAUAUAAACAAACUUACCUGAAAUAUCUCUGUUGAGAUAUUAUUUGAUACGAGAUAUAUAUGAUGAUACUGUUCCGUUAUUCGUGUUUGUUGAGCCCAAUAAGGCUGGAUAAUUCGGCCCAUUUACCUGGUAGGCUUGACCGUUCGGUGUAACCGGUCGUCCGGGAUAUACUAUCGUACAUCAUCCCCCCAAGUCCAAAGGAAGGACGAGGCUUUAGCCUGAUGUGACUGCAGGACUUUGAUGAGUGUUGGGAAGGAUAGUGGCCGAUUGGUGUGGGAUAANUGAGUNGUCCGUAUUGUUGACCGUUCGUACUGAUUAGUGCCCUAGUGGUAGGCAAACAGACAUGUGUAGUUUUGCCAGUGUAAAUUAAACGACGCAAUCAUAUCGUCGUUUAACUUUUAAACACAUAAAUGGAUUUUCCCGCGUUACGGUAGUGGCAGAGUCGCCAAAUUAGAACGUUAGAUCUCAGGCAUCCAACGGUGUAGGUAAUGCGACAUUUUCGUAACCUCCACGCUUUUGAAAAGUAUAAUGAUUUGGAAAUGAACCGUCAUUUCAUCGUUGUUUCCUGCGUUUGCCCUCAGAAGCUCUUGCUUUGCCCAAGUAUUCUGCACUUGCUUCGACCUCCAUUUCCAGGUAACAAUGGCUUCUUCCCCUCCUGCCCUUACUUUGUCUGAUAGUGAAAAUAGGAAUCGUAAUGUUCCGUCGUCAUCUAGCCGUAGAGUCGUAGGGUCUGUAGAGUCGUUAUUGAGUGGUGACAAGGUUUUUGUUAAUGGCGGGGUCGAGGUAGAAAAUUCCGGGCAAGAAUGUGCUUCUUGUUCCUUAGAUUAUUCGUGGGCAUCGCGGGAAGUAGGUGAGCAAUACACUAUUUUUAUUAGUAGAGAUAUACUAUCAGGAUGGGUAGAAGAUAACUGCAUCCUUCGAACCCUAGGCUAUAAGGCCGCCGUGAACUUAGUGGCUUGCAAGAAGGGAGAAAGAGUGUUUCACGGGGAAGAGGUCGCCGAAGAGGGUUGUUUUUACAUGUAUCUGUGUUUAUUUUACCAUAUGUACGUUCGUCUUCCUUUUACUCGGUUCCAAAUGGAUGUCCUCCGAUACCUAAACGUAGCUCCUUCCCAAUUACAUCCGAACAGCUGGGCGUACAUCCAAGCGUUCGGUGUAUUGUGUCAAGCCCUAGAUAUUAACCCAACGGCCAAAAUAUUCUUGUAUUUUUUCAAGAGCCGGCCGAACGCCAAAAAGGGGUGGGUUUCCCUUAGUUCCUAGGCAAAGGAUGCCAUAUUUCACUUGUUUGCUGAGUCGUUUCAAGACUUCAAAAACCACUUUUUCAAGGUGUCAGUUAAAUCGAGGGGUAAGCCAUUUUUUCUAAACGAUGAUGGUAGUUCCAAGUUCCCCUUAUUUUGGACUAGAAAUCCUCGAACUUUGACCUCUUGGCCUAAAGAGGAUAUGACUGACGUCGAAAAGAGGGACCUGGAUAUUUUGAUUAAACUAUCCCGUCCGUUUUCUUCGAGGAAGAUGGUGAAUUGUCUGAAGUUCAACGACCUUAAGUCGAAGGUUUCUGGUAGGUGUUUGUUGCUGAUUAUUGUUCCCGGUGAGGUUGAAUAUCCUUACUGAUUUGUUGUGUAUCCUUUUACAGACUAUAAUGUCCACUAUUUACACAAAACCGACCGCGUUUGAUCCAAUCAAGCCUACUUGUUACAAAAACGAGCGACAACACAACACACCAAGCGUGUUCAAGAUUUACAACCAACCAAGCCUCAAAUCGACUAAGUCUCGAUGAUUUAUCCUAACGAUCUGGCGACAAGCAAUCAUGUGAAGUUUGGAGAAUUCAAACAUGCAAUGUAUUCACACCAAGAUCAAAAAACAAAGGUACAAAGUUCAAAUUCAGAAGUAAAAUGCCCACAUGGGCCAAAUAACAAGAGAAACAAAACAUAGUGUUUAAGACACUCCCACAGAGAUUACAAAAUAAGGCAUAAAUAUUAUCUUCAAGUCUCUGUGUUGACUGCUUCAUUCUGCUCGGUCCCAGUUUCUUGACCGGCCGCCUCCACAACAGGAUCACCUUCUUCAGUAAAGGUGCCCUCAUGAAUGUCAUCGAUCGACACCAUACGUCCCUCAUAGAUGUCCUGUUCUAUGUCAAAGCCCAAGCCUGCAGGAUCAACCUUGGCCAAGAAAUUCAUUUGCCUCAAUGCCUUUUUGAAGCCCUUCGUAUGUUCAAGGUCAAUUGCUUCCAUCAUCUCGGCCUCGGUUUGUUUCCACUCAGUUCUCUCCUGCCUCAGUUCGACAUUUGUCUUCUCCAACUCUUCUCGUUUUUUUUCGAUCUCACUCAGCCUCGCAAUAUUCUUCCUAGCCUCCUCCAUGUCCUUCAGCACAUUAUCACGCUCGGUCUUCAGCUCUUGACCAAUCUUACGCAACCCUUCCACCUCCUUCUUAACUUCUGCAAGGGCCUUUGCAGCUUCCUCGGCCUUUUCCUCACAACUUGCGUGAGUAGCAUUGAGGUCAUCUAAUUCCUUUCGGAGGCGGUUCACUUCGCUUUGAACUUCCCCUCUAUUAGAAGCAUACACCAUUUUGAAAGCUGCGGCACCGGCCCGAAGAAGAACGUCGAGCAAGAACUCAGACAUUUGUUGCUCGGACAUGGAGGCCAUCACCUUCUCCUCAGCAGCAUCGAAAUGGAAUUCGAUCUUGUGUCUAAGAUCGAAACCGGGGUCCCACAUCCCUUGGGGCAAAGGGCGAAGUUCGGACGGGUCACCGCUCUCUCUUACGGUCCUCUCUACACCGGGUGAUGAUUCCCCCGCCUCGAUGCCGGUUUUUCCUUUGCCGAGUACGUUGGUCACUCCCUCAACCCGUGCGACUUUUCUCUUCCGCGUCCAUACUUCUUCGGGAGAGGGUGGAGUGUCAUCUACAUGCACAACCGUGACCGGCACAGCCUGGCCGGACGAUGAUCCGGCUCCUUUCUUGGCCGCACGAACUUUACCGAACCAGUCUCUCUUAGGGGCCAUCAGUUCUGUAAAAGGAUACACAACAAAUCAGUAAGGAUACUCAACCUCACUGGGAACAAUAAUCAGCAACAAACACCUACCAGAAACCUUCGACUUAAGGUCGUUGAACUUCAGACAAUUCACCAUCUUCCUCGAAGAAAACGGACGGGAUAGUUUAAUCAAAAUAUCUAGGUCCCUCUUUUCGACGUCAGUCAUAUCCUCUUCAGGCCAAGAGGUCAAAGUUCGAGGAUUUCUAGUCCAAAAUAAGGGGAACUUGGAACUACCAUCAUCGUUUAGAAAAAAUGGCUUACCCCUCGGUUUAAUUGACACAUUGAAAAAGUGGUUUUUGAAGUCUUGAAACGACUCAGCAAACAAGUGAAAUAUGGCAUCCUUUGCCUAGGAACUAAGGGAAACCCACCCCUUUUUGGCAUUCGGCCGGCUCUUGAAAAAAUACAAGAAUAUUUUGGCCGUUGGGUUAAUAUCUAGGGCUUGACACAAUACACCGAACGCUUGGAUGUACGCCCAGCUGUUCGGAUGUAAUUGGGAAGGAGCUACGUUUAGGUAUCGGAGGACAUCCAUUUGGAACCGAGUAAAAGGAAGACGAACGUACAUAUGGUAAAAUAAACACAGAUACAUGUAAAAACAACCCUCUCCGACGACCUCUUCCCCGUGAAACGCUCUUUCUCCCUUCUUGCAAGCCACUAAGUUCACGGCGGCCUUACAGCCUAGGGUUCGAAGGAUGCAGUUAUCUUCUACCCAUCCUGAUAGUAUAUCUCUUCUAAUAAAAAUAGUGUAUUGCUCACCUACUUCCCGCGAUGCCCACGAAUAAUCUAAGGAACAAGAAGCACAUUCUUGCCCGGAAUCUUCUACCUCGACCCCGCCAUUAACAAAAACCUUGUCGCCACUCAAUAACGACUCUACAGACCCUACGACUCUACGGCUAGAUGACGACGGAACAUUACGAUUCCUAUUUUCACUAUCAGACAAAGCAAGGGCAGGAGGGGAAGAAGCCAUUGUUACCUGGAAAUGGAGGUCGAAGCAAGUGCAGAAUACUUGGGCAAAGUAAGAGCUUCUGAGGGCAAACGCAGGAAACAACGAUGAAAUGACGGUUCAUUUCCAAAUCAUUACACUUUUCAAAAGCGUGGAGAUUACGAAAAUGUCGCAUUACCUACACCGUUGGAUGCCUGAGAUCUAACGGUUCUAAUUUGGCGACUCUGCCACUACCGUAACGCGGGAAAAUCCAUUUAUGUGUUUAAAAGUUAAACGACGAUAUGAUUGCGUCGUUUAAUUUACACUGGCAAAACUACACAUGUCUGUUUGCCUACCACUAGGGCACUAAUCAGUACGAACGGUCAACAAUACGGACNACUCANUUAUCCCACACCAAUCGGCCACUAUCCUUCCCAACACUCAUCAAAGUCCUGCAGUCACAUCAGGCUAAAGCCUCGUCCUUCCUUUGGACUUGGGGGGGAUGAUGUACGGUAGUAUAUCCCAGACGACCGGUUACACCGAACGGUCAAGCCUACCAGGUAAAUGGGCCGAAUUAUCCAGCCUUAUUGGGCUCAACAAACACGAAUAACGGAACAGUAUCAUCAUAUAUAUCUCGUAUCAAAUAAUAUCUCAACAGAGAUAUUUCAGGUAAGUUUGUUUAUAUUUCAUUCUGUUUAUAUUUUAUUUUGUUAUAUUGAUCCAAAGCCUAUAAAUAAAGAACAAAAGCCUCCAAACAAGGUACGCACAAUUUAGCUUACUGUACGCACAAUUCAACCUAUUCUACGCAGAUUCUCACACUCAUACUCUCAUACUUGAUUGAGUUUCACCCUCUCUCCGUUCUAGGCAUCCACUUGCUGAGGACAAAGGGCCUUCCUAUACCGACAUCUAACUUGAUCGUCGGAGUGCCUUUACAGGUACCACCCCCCUCCCGGGCAAAGAUCAGAGCGUGACGGACGGUCGGAGGAACGGACGGCGAAGACAAUUGGAGAUUUCGCAUCAGAAGGAAGCAGAAUCACGCCAUCAUAACAAGUCAUGUUCAAGAUCCAACAUAUUAGCUAAACCGGGAUAGAAGACUUACCUUGGUGUUGAAGUCUUUGCUUGAUUUUCUUCCGGUGACGAUCUCCUUUUCCUCCCUCCGUGCAGGUCCACUGAAAUUGUGCUCUCAAGGGUCUCCGAUUCUUGAUUCAGUGAGAAGUGUUCCCUUCUUUUGCUUCGUAGUGCCCUUUUCUUAGGUCCCAAUCCCCUUUUGCGUGACUGCCUGUGCUUUUUUGCGUGACUGCUUUGCUCCCCCUCCCAUACCUUAUUUACAGAACCUACCUCUCCCAGUCAAAGCUUCUUUUUUUUUUUGUCAUUUUUUUCAUUGUUUUUUUUAUAUAAUAAAGACAAAAUGGAACAUUUCAAACUUUUUCUUUUUCCUAUUUAUAUUAAUUAUGUUUAACUAAUAUUAUGUUUAACUAUGCUAAUUAUAUUAGAACACCACUCAAAAGAAAAACUAAAAACAAAGAUUAAAAAUAAAAAUAAAAAUAAAAAUAAAGAGAUAAAAAAUGAAAUAAAAUAAAGCUAAAAUAAUAGAAAUAAAAUAAAAAUAACAAUAAAGAUAAAAAUGGAAAUUGAGAAAAAACCUAUGAUAACACAAUAGAAUAAAGCAAAAUGGAAAACUUUGACAGUCAAAAUUACUUAGAACGAAUUGCAAUUUCAGCUUCAUCUAUCACAAACGUUAGAAGUAGUUUCAUUUUAGGUUGGAAAUUUGAACUCUUAUUAUUAUCUAAUUGGGUGAUUUUUGGUUGCAGGGAAAGGACAUGCUUAAAAGAUGUUUUUGCCGAAUUUCAUGAGCAGAAAAAGCUUUCAGAAAUGUAAUGUAAUAGCUUUUGAAGUGAAAACUUGACCAGCCCAAAAAGGUUAUUGAGUAUGUGAAUUAUCCAAUGUUUCUUUUUAAUAUUGUUUCAGGCUUUCGUUCCAUCUCUUCAUAUACAAUAAUUUUGUUAUUAAUCUGAUCUCUUUUUAACUGUUGUUUCUAAAUGAACUCAUUGGUGAGAGUGGUCACCUUUAUUAUUCAAAUAAAAGAACAUUCAAAAUGGAAGGUUAAAAAAGUGUUAUAUAUAAAAUCAGUGAUUAUCUUUCAUCUGCUCAGCUCUUGGUAAGGCUGGUCCAUGAUGUCGCAACCGAAAUCGUG